CCAGUGUUUCCUGAACUUUGAUCUCCAGCUGUUUUUGGACUACAAUUCUUAUUAUCCUUGACCACUGGUCUUGCUAGCUAGGGGUGAUGGGAGUUAUAGUCCCAAAACAGCUGGAGACCCAAGUUUAGGAAAUUCUGG
Non-coding RNA from Podarcis lilfordi (Lilford's wall lizard), 138 nucleotides. The record is from the annotation of a GenBank genome assembly. NCBI's taxonomy places the organism in Eukaryota, Metazoa, Chordata, Lepidosauria, Squamata, Lacertidae.